GGGUCUGUGCCCAGCUAGGACAGGGCGCCGGCCUUCGGAGCCGGAGGUCGAGGGUUCAAAUCCCUCCAGACCCGCCA
RNAcentral lists this transfer RNA (77 nucleotides) under Candidatus Jordarchaeia archaeon. Its description in RNAcentral is "tRNA-Arg". It matches the Rfam family "tRNA". Rfam says of the family: Transfer RNA (tRNA) molecules are approximately 80 nucleotides in length. Their secondary structure includes four short double-helical elements and three loops (D, anti-codon, and T loops). The record is from RNAcentral. Lineage: Archaea; Promethearchaeati; Candidatus Jordarchaeia.